This 754-nucleotide ribosomal RNA is filed under the name uncultured Sebacina. RNAcentral describes it as "partial 28S ribosomal RNA". It matches the Rfam family "Eukaryotic large subunit ribosomal RNA", at positions 216 to 962 of the family's 3401-position model. Lineage: Eukaryota; Fungi; Basidiomycota; Agaricomycetes; Sebacinales; Sebacinaceae. The record is from RNAcentral.
GAAUCCCGUAUAUGGCACGGACUGCCGUUGCUCUGCGAUACACUCUCAACGAGUCAAGUUGUUUGGGAAUGCAGCUCCAAGUGGGUGGUAAAUGCCAUCUAAAGCUAAAUAUUGGCGAGAGACCGAUAGCGAACAAGUACCGUGAGGGAAAGAUGAAAAGCACUUUGGAAAGAGAGUGAAACAGUACGUGAAAUUGUUGAAAGGGAAACACUUGAAGUCAGUCGCGCCGUUCGGGACUCAGCCUUGCUUCUGCUUGGUUUACUUCCCGUUGGGUGGGUCAACAUCAGUUUUGGUCGGAGGAGAAAGGCCUGUGGAAGGUAGCAGCUUUGCUGUGUUAUAGCCACCUGUUGUAUACUUCGACUGGGACUGAGGAUCGCAGCACGCCUUUGGCCGGGGCUUUGCCCACGUACGUGCUUAGGAUGUUGGCAUAAUGGCUUUAAGUGACCCGUCUUGAAACACGGACCAAGGAGUCUAACAUGUGCGCGAGUGUUUGGGUGUUAAACUCGGACGCGAAAUGAAAGUAACAAGUUGGGAACACUUUUGUGUGCACCGACGCCCGGAGCUGACCUUCUGUGACGCAUCUGCGGUAGAGCGUAUAUGUUGGGACCCGAAAGAUGGUGAACUAUGCCUGAAUAGGGUGAAGCCAGAGGAAACUCUGGUGGAGGCUCGUAGCGAUUCUGACGUGCAAAUCGAUCGUCAAAUUUGGGUAUAGGGGCGAAAGACUAAUCGAACCAUCUAGUAGCUGGUUCCUGCC